GUCUCCUUAGCUCAGCUGGAUAGAGCAGCCGACUUCUAAUCGGCAGGUCGAAGGUUCGAAUCCUUCAGGGGACACCA
This 77-nucleotide transfer RNA is filed under the name Amylibacter sp. RNAcentral describes it as "tRNA-Arg". It matches the Rfam family "tRNA". From Rfam's summary of the family: Transfer RNA (tRNA) molecules are approximately 80 nucleotides in length. Their secondary structure includes four short double-helical elements and three loops (D, anti-codon, and T loops). Further hydrogen bonds mediate the characteristic L-shaped molecular structure. tRNAs have two regions of fundamental functional importance: the anti-codon, which is responsible for specific mRNA codon recognition, and the 3' end, to which the tRNAs corresponding amino acid is attached (by aminoacyl-tRNA synthetases). tRNAs cope with the degeneracy of the genetic code in two manners: having more than one tRNA (with a specific anti-codon) for a particular amino acid; and 'wobble' base-pairing, i.e. permitting non-standard base-pairing at the 3rd anti-codon position. Lineage: Bacteria; Pseudomonadati; Pseudomonadota; Alphaproteobacteria; Rhodobacterales; Paracoccaceae. The record is from RNAcentral.